UUAUGUUCCGGGGUUCUGGCUGCAUGGUGGGAGUUCCUGUGCACCCUUAUUACCUUUUACCACCAGAUGGCGACAGGUUCCGGCUGGAGUGCGGUGCAUUAUUAUCCGCAGCUGUUCGUGAUCAUCCUCAUCAGCGGCGCAGACUUAAGGAGUUGGCCGCCAGUCCAGCGUCGCCUGAGUGUUAGCCAGUCACGGUGAUCCUUUGAUGAGAUCCCGGUUGAAUUCCUGGCUUUUGAACCAUCCUCGUGACGCCGUGGAAAGUAUCCACAGGUUGCCCGAGUUCCCAGACUUACCUCUCCGUUGUUUUGGCAAUUAUCUCCUGGACCCCACGGCUGGCGGCCGUACCACUCCUCCGUCUCCCCGCUGCUCUCGUGCCUACCUGUCCGCUGCCCACCGCACUCCUCCGUUGUUCCUGGACCCACCAAGAACCGAGACCCCGGACAUACUCGGUUUCCCCUCCAAGACUCUGUUCAUCAGCAACAAUGAACCAUUGUUGCCGUCCCUGUUUUUGCCCCUGGACCAGACCAUCCUGAUUCUCACUGAUAAUUGUGUGAUCUUUAUUAAAUCAUUUAACACUGA
Molecule: long non-coding RNA, 579 nt
Organism: Xiphophorus hellerii (green swordtail)
Lineage: Eukaryota; Metazoa; Chordata; Actinopteri; Cyprinodontiformes; Poeciliidae
Exons: 3
Source: RefSeq, a predicted model, not a curated record